CAGCAGCCGCGGGAAUACGGAGGGAGCUAGCGUUGUUCGGAAUUACUGGGCGUAAAGCGCGCGUAGGCGGUUACUCAAGUCAGAGGUGAAAGCCCGGGGCUCAACCCCGGAACUGCCUUUGAAACUAGGUGACUAGAAUCUUGGAGAGGUCAGUGGAAUUCCGAGUGUAGAGGUGAAAUUCGUAGAUAUUCGGAAGAACACCAGUGGCGAAGGCGACUGACUGGACAAGUAUUGACGCUGAGGUGCGAAAGCGUGGGGAGCAAACAGGAUUAGAUACCCCGUAGUCCCUGUCUCUUAUACA
RNAcentral lists this ribosomal RNA (301 nucleotides) under uncultured bacterium. RNAcentral's name for it is "partial 16S ribosomal RNA". It matches the Rfam family "Bacterial small subunit ribosomal RNA", at positions 509 to 808 of the family's 1533-position model. The record is from RNAcentral.